This 222-nucleotide ribosomal RNA is filed under the name uncultured bacterium. Its description in RNAcentral is "partial 16S ribosomal RNA". It matches the Rfam family "Bacterial small subunit ribosomal RNA", at positions 28 to 250 of the family's 1533-position model. The record is from RNAcentral.
GACGAACGCUGGCGGCGUGCUUAACACAUGCAAGUCGAGCGGUAAGGCCCUUUCGGGGGUACGACGAGCGGCGAACGGGUGAGUAACACGUGGGUGACCUGCCCUCAGCUCUGGGAUAAGCCUGGGAAACCGGGUCUAAUACCGGAUAUGACUCCAUGACGCAUGUUGUGGGGUGGAAAGCCUUGUGCGGCUGAGGAUGGGCCCGCGGCCUAUCAGCUUGUU